RNAcentral lists this ribosomal RNA (433 nucleotides) under uncultured bacterium. RNAcentral's name for it is "partial 16S ribosomal RNA". It matches the Rfam family "Bacterial small subunit ribosomal RNA", at positions 29 to 507 of the family's 1533-position model. The record is from RNAcentral.
AACGGACGCUGGCGGCAUGCCUAACACAUGCAAGUCGAACGAGACCUUCGGGGCUAGUGGCGCACGGGUGCGUAACGCGUGGGAACCUGCCGUUAGGUUCGGAAUAACUCCCCGAAAGGGGUGCUAAUACCGGAUAAUGUCUUCGGACCAAAGAUUUAUCGCCUUUGGAUGGGCCCGCGUUGGAUUAGCUAGUUGGUAGGGUAAAAGCCUACCAAGGCGACGAUCCAUAGCUGGUCUGAGAGGAUGAUCAGCCACACUGGGACUGAGACACGGCCCAGACUCCUACGGGAGGCAGCAGUGGGGAAUAUUGGACAAUGGGCGAAAGCCUGAUCCAGCAAUGCCGCGUGAGUGAUGAAGGCCUUAGGGUUGUAAAGCUCUUUUACCCGGGAUGAUAAUGACAGUACCGGGAGAAUAAGCUCCGGCUAACUCCGUG